Molecule: long non-coding RNA, 2955 nt
Organism: Alligator mississippiensis (American alligator)
Lineage: Eukaryota; Metazoa; Chordata; Crocodylia; Alligatoridae
Exons: 2
Source: RefSeq, a predicted model, not a curated record
UUUUAGAGAUUUACAUACAAUAAACAAAAAGCGAGUAAAAUAAUAAUAUUUUUUUCUAUUUUUUUUAGAAUACUAUAUAAACAUAUGCAUGUUUCUUUGGCAAGAGGAAGGAGCGUGUUUUCUUUCUUAACAACAUAUCCUGGAGAACUGGUAUAAAAUAUCCAGGACUGCUUGAAAUCUCUGCCAUAAUGGGCUCUAAUUUUUCAUAAGUAACUACUAAAUUCUGACAAGCAGCCCCUAGGUUCCAUGGCAGCAUUAAUUAAUUAUCAUAAAAUAUCCUUGAUCUCCUCUUUCCCAAAUACAAUAUCAUCAUCAGGAGGUAUGUCCUAUCUAUUUGUAGUAGUGUAGCUGGGUUAAAGUGGCUUCAAGCAUGUACCAAGAAUCACAUAUAUGACAGACCAGUACUGUGGCCAGUUAAAAUAUCCAGUUUUGGGGAUCUGGCAUAUGGGUUGUUUGUAGAUGAUAGAAAGAAAGAAACAAACAAACAAACCGCACUUUAUCAGGAGAAGCAGCAUGUUAAUUUAACCUGGCUCUGCAGUGUCUGUAUAGUUCAGGCACUUCAGCGGGGCUUUUUGGUGAUUCAAUCAGCUAUUAGAUAAAAGCACCAAAAAAGCCCUCCUAAAGUGCCUCUGACCUGUACAGAUGUUGGGCGAGCUGGGUCCAACUAACAUGCUGCCACUUUUGGGCACGUGUUAAGCUCAGAGUGCUCCUGUGCCAAGCUUAAAGUAAAGCGCCGUGUGUGUGUGUGUGUGUGUGUGUAUUUUAACAUCUGCAAGCAGCCAUGUUGAACAGAAGCAAGUGGUAUAUUCUGUUGGGUACUGUUUAAUUGUUUUAUUAUUUUAUCUGUUUUUACUGUAAGCUGUUUUCAGCCUUUGUGGGGAAAGCAACAUAAAUCAAAUCAAUACAUAAAAUACUUCCCCAUCACUACCUAGUCUGAGGGAGGGAAAACUGAGACCAACUUUGGAAACACUAGGCUUCAGUAAGUAUUGUAAUAGCUCUGGGAGUUUGGCAAAUUGGGGAGAACUACUGAGAGAACCUGUGUGCAUCAGAGAGAAUGGAAUGGUGAAGUCACUAAAACAAGUGCUGUUUCUUUAUGCAUCUUAAAAUUUCUAAGAAAAGGAUGAUUUGGAAUAUCAAUAGGGUAUUUUAGAAGAUUUCUUACCUCAUGCUGCAGAAGCUCUUCAGUGAAAUUAAAUGGAACAUUACUAUUACAUGUUUAGUGAUAAAUAUCUUUGAAGUUUCUCUUUUUAUAUCCCAGGGCACUAUUUUUAUUUAUUUAUUUUUACUUGCCUGUCAAAAUGAUCUAUGUAAUACUUGGAUAUGGGGGCAAUUUUGUUUCCAUUUCUCCCCUCAAAACCAUUUUAUAGUUCUUGUUACCUCUUGGGGUUCUCUUUUAUAGCUAUUGUGCUUACUCUGUCUUCUGUGCCAGUUUCUUUACUUCUUUAUGACAACCCUGUGCUACUUCAUUUGUUGUGAUCUACUACAGCAUUGUUCUUUCCAUCCUGUGGUGCACAGAGAAUGAAAUGAAGCAACAGGGCAGCACAGUAAAAGCAAGGGAAGGAAGAAAAUAAGCAUUUGUUGUCAUGCAAACAAAGUGGAUAGGUUUGUAGAACAUAAAGGAAGACUAACAAGCAAUCCAGGUAGACUGCUAACAUGAAAAAGAACAGGGUGGCCAGUUUGCAGCAGGAGUCUCACAAGUGGCAUGGGCAGCCUCUGUGUCAUACAAUAGAUCAGGGGGGGACUAGCAGCACAGUAGCAAAUUGGGCAGGAAGCAGAAGGCAAAGUAUGUAAUCAGGCAAGGACCAGGGGGAAAAAAGCAGAGCAGGAGAUUGGUCAGGGAUCACAGAGCAGGUAACAGAAAGCACAGCAGUAGAUCAGGCAGAGGAAGUGGAUCAGAGUGGCACCUGGGGAGGGUGCAGGACUAAAUUGUGGCAUGCCUAUCAAAAAGGUUAGCCUCCAGUGAAAUGGUGUAAUGAGUAAACAAGAAGGAAGGAAAGAACAUUGAGACACUAACAAAAGGGAACAUGAGACCUGCAGCAAGAAACAUCAUCCAAGGAUGGUGAUAGAUUGUGAGAAUUGAAAAAAGAAGAGCCCUAGAAAGGACAGAGAAUACAAAAUGGAUAGGGGAUUCUUCCCAUUGAAAGAAGAAAACUGGUAACUUUUUAAUGAAAAAUGUUUGAGCGAGAGAAAUAGAUAAACAACCAGUCCUUGUUGAAAAAAUGCAAAGCACUGCUGUGUAAUCUGAAAAUCAGAUAAAAUUAUUUUAAUGGAACUAAACUGUACAGAUUAUUUCAUAAUUUUAAAAUAUUUGACACUUCUGUAUGGUUUGCAGUUAUAGGAGUUCUUCUGGGUUUCUUUUCCUUAUUAAAAACCUCUAGUCUAUCAUGAAGAGGUUUUUAAUAGUUUUCUUCAAAAUAGUUUGACACCUUUUCUGUAGGCCAUUCAGCUGGACUACUCAUAUGCUCAACUAAAGAGCUUCUUGAUAAGUCUACAGCAGUGAUUCUCAACUGGGGGUGCUAAGAGAUAUCUUUUAAAGGUGCCUCCCCACUGUGCCUCUUUCGGAAAUGCUGUGUGGGGUUAGACUGGAAAGCCCAGCCUGACAGGAGGGGCUACCAUGAGGCUGCUGUUGCUGUCCUGCCUGAGAGCCCAGAGAGGCAAUGGAACCACUGUAGAUGAGAUAAUGGGAAAAGAAGGGGCUCACCUUGCCUGCAUCAACAGAAAGUACCACUACAUUCAGAAAAAUUAUGGAGGAGUGUCUUGAGUCUAAACAAACUGAGAAACACUGGUCUACAGAGUGCAAAGCAGCCAUUCUCUAGCUCUGGAACCAGAUGGGGCAGAUGCUGGAAAAAUGGUGGAAGAUGAUGAUGUAUAAUUCACUGUGACAUUUUCAAACACGCUAAAAUACCGGCCUGUAUUUACAAGAGCCGAGUUAUCACAAAAGUGCUGCUGUGUCAA